ACAACCGAAAUAUUUCGGGUACCCGAAUGUAUCCGAAAUAGAUUUAUAAUUCUAUAUACUAAUUAUUUUUUAAGAUUUUAUGUAUAUUCAAAAACAUCACAAAAAUAAAAUCUCCUAUCAAACCCACCCAAUUAAUUUAAUAAUUAACAGUUCCAAAUACUCAUGGUUGGUCCUAAUUCAAAUACUUAUUGCCAGGCAUACUUUAUUUUUAAAAUUUUCCAAAAAAUUAAAAACUACAAACUAUAUCUAUGUUCACUUCAUAGAAAUAAAAAUUAUAAAACAUAGGCAAUAUAAAAUAAUUCUCAUUCUUAUGCAGAACAUGCAGCCGA
RNAcentral lists this long non-coding RNA (329 nucleotides) under Brassica napus (rape). Its description in RNAcentral is "long non-coding RNA (BNAP_LNC024372)". The record is from RNAcentral. Lineage: Eukaryota; Viridiplantae; Streptophyta; Magnoliopsida; Brassicales; Brassicaceae.